UACGAAGGGGGCUAGCGUUGCUCGGAAUCACUGGGCGUAAAGCGCGCGUAGGCGGAUUGCUAAGUCAGGGGUGAAAUCCUGGAGCUCAACUCCAGAACUGCCUUUGAUACUGGCGACCUUGAGUCCGGGAGAGGCGAGUGGAACUGCGAGUGUAGAGGUGAAAUUCGUAGAUAUUCGCAAGAACACCAGUGGCGAAGGCGGCUCACUGGCCCGGUACUGACGCUGAGGUGCGAAAGCGUGGGGAGCAAACAGG
This 253-nucleotide ribosomal RNA is filed under the name uncultured bacterium. Its description in RNAcentral is "partial 16S ribosomal RNA". It matches the Rfam family "Bacterial small subunit ribosomal RNA", at positions 524 to 776 of the family's 1533-position model. The record is from RNAcentral.